Molecule: long non-coding RNA, 1992 nt
Organism: Oreochromis niloticus (Nile tilapia)
Lineage: Eukaryota; Metazoa; Chordata; Actinopteri; Cichliformes; Cichlidae
Exons: 2
Source: RefSeq, a predicted model, not a curated record
UAUAUAUAUAUAUGUGUAUAUAUAGUGAAAAAAGACAAAAAAGACAGGGACACACUUAUUUUGUGUUUCUUUUUUAAUUCAUAGGACAGACAGGUCUAUCAGCCCACUGUCAUAAAGUAAAAUUUAAGUGAUUAAUUUCUCUUCAGUUCCACUAUUAGACCCGUCUGUCGCUGUAGCUUUACUUUCCAGUGCAGCUCAUGGAUGGCGUAAAAAGGAUAUGGGCCGAAAGAGAGGAAAAAAUUUUGGAAAACGUGUGACCUGAUCCCAGAAAGCGCAGAUGCACUUUAUUCGGCCAUGUGUUUUUGUACACACAUGGUUUUUACAGCAGCUAUGAGUGUUGAAUGUCUCACUUUCUGCCGGUGGAACAAUGGGGCCCGGUCCUAUGAGCCAGCUCUGGGGAGGGAGGAGUGUUGUGUUGGGCUUAAUGACCUCUUCUCAGUGCGGCCUCUGCAUCCUCCCAUCUUAAUUAAUGAAAUACGCAGAGGGGGCAAACAGCCCUGCAAUAACACAGGAGGUGCUGCUUUCUGAGGAGGGCAAAGGCGUGAUAAUUACAUACCCUCACUUUUCCCUUUUCCCGUUUUUCACCUAUGUUUCUACCUCGUUUUUUUCCUUCCCAUCCCCCCCUCUUUUGUCUCUGUCUCCUCCUUUGCUGUCAUGAUUAAUAAGCACGCACAAUUAUGCCAAUUCAUUUACAGCUGGGGGGGAGGGGGGAGCUUUGUUUAAGCAAGUCAUUUUUUCCUUUGAUUUCAGGAGAGGGAAAAGCACAGAGUUGUUUGCCAGUCUUUAUCCGAGCUGGGAGAGGGUCUUUUUUUUUUUCUGCGGCAGCAUGUUGUUUGUGAGCGUGACGAUUGAUGGCGUAAUCCCUUUUCACAGUGUGGUCUGGCUGUGCCCGAUAAUGCCAGCCUGCUCAGUUUCAGCAUGCUCUCCACUGGGGCGGCAAGAGGGGGACUGCUGGGCACGGUGGAGCUCAUUCAGCCAUUAAUCUGGCCAGGACAAGGGAAGCUGCUACUUCUGCUGCCGCUGCCGCUGCUGCUGCAGGCGACGUGAGCAGGGUCUUAGUGCAGUCUGCUGACUGCACAGCAACCUCGCUCUCCUUCGCUCCCUCCGCACACUCACACAUAAACACGCCAGCAUCAGCAAGUGAAUGGCAGAGGGGAGUUCACAGCGCAUGCCCUCCUUUCCAGCGGCAGAGCAGGGGUGAGAGGCAGAACAAACAGAGCUGCAUCCCAAGGAGGGAUUUCUAGAAGUUCUGAAGGGAGGUGGCUGUAACGCAUCAGAGACGGAGAGAUAGAAGGACGGAGAGAAAGAGAGCACGCCACAGGAAGACCGAGAGGAGAGGAGGAGCAGCCUGAGCUGCCUGUCAGGUCCGCUAAUUGAGAAAAAAGUGACAGAACCAUCAAGACACAGAAAGGGAGGAGAAGAGGAGAGGAGACGAGAGAUGUUUGGCGGAGGAGGGGCAGUGCUAUGGUGGAUCUCUUCAGGUUUGACUAAUUGAAAGGAAGGGAUGCAGACUGGCACAGGAGAGAGAGAGAGAGAGGGAGAGAGAGAAUGAAAGAAGCAGGAGUAAGGAAGAGGAGAGGCGGGGGGUGCAGCUUAAAUCCUACAAAAGGAAAAGCAAGCAACUGUUCACAGAAGGAAAGAUGGACAACUGAAGAUAGGCUUGGAAAGGCGUAUCAAACAGAAGUGGAUUAGACAGGUGUGUGCAGGCAACUCUGUGUGUGUGUGUGUGCAUGCGUGUGUUUAUAUGUGUGGACAAAGAUAUGAGACUGCGAUUAUUUUUGGCAUAACUUAAGAAGUCAUUUGGACUGUGGCCAGCUGGCCUCAGGACUGCGAGGAGUCGGCAGGUUUUCUUUUUAUUCUUUACCCACUCCCCACCCUUUUUUCCCUCUGUUGGUCAUUUUUAUUUGUAUUCUUUUUUAUUUUUCCACUCAGUCGAUUCAGUGGAGUUUAUUCAAACAGUUCCAAACAUGAAAAUAAAUCUUUCAAAAGCUC